Molecule: ribosomal RNA, 197 nt
Filed under: uncultured bacterium
Lineage: Bacteria
Description: partial 16S ribosomal RNA
Rfam family: Bacterial small subunit ribosomal RNA
Source: RNAcentral
CUCCUACGGGAGGCAGCAGUAAGGAAUAUUGGGCAAUGGACGCAAGUCUGACCCAGCCAUGCCGCGUGGAGGAUGAAGGUCCUCUGGAUUGUAAACUUCUUUUACUCUUGGGGCGAAAAACGAGGUAAUUCUUACUUGCUUGACAGUACCAGAGGAAUAAGCACCGGCUAACUCCGUGCCAGCAGCCGCGGUAAUAC